RNAcentral lists this long non-coding RNA (1688 nucleotides) under Dasypus novemcinctus (nine-banded armadillo). RNAcentral describes it as "lncRNA (ENSDNOG00000052760.1)". The record is from RNAcentral. Lineage: Eukaryota; Metazoa; Chordata; Mammalia; Cingulata; Dasypodidae.
GAUCAAGAGACUGAGUCGGGGAAGCCGUUGGAGAGGUGGGGGUUUGGCUCCAUGUGCGGUUCUUUUCGUGGCUCGAGUGGGACAGCGACGGAAGGGCUGGCCCGGGAGGUGGGGAGUUCCCCAUUCGCAGGCGCAGGGACCAGCCUCUCGAGCGGUGGGUUCCGGGCAUGGUAGCAGGCCAGGAGCACAAGGUCAUUUCUGGAUCAUUCUACCACCACGGCCCUGCCUCGUGUCCGGCCUCGGGAGCAGGACCUCAGGGGACCACCGCCGUCUUCCUCAAAUACAAAUGUCCUCAUAGGGUUUCAUCCCAGCUUUACCCCAGCGUUAGUCCUUACCACCCCUGGGCUGAGAUGGGGCCCGGGCAUCUGCAUUUCUAACCCAUUCCGGGUCGUGGUCCUCGGGCCUGACUGUGGGGACCCGAGCGUAGGUGCCCCGACUUCCGGGAAUGCCCGUCUGACAGGUGCGUCCGUCCCUGUGCCCACUGCACCCCCCACGCCCCCCCAGCCCUCCCUGGGACAGCCAUCCCCGCGCGUCCACCCCUGCGGCCCCUAGAUCGAGAGGUCGGCUUUCCCACCGUGGCCCCCGGGAAUCCUCGGCCUCAGCCACGGCGGACGCCAUGAGCACUUUGGGGGGCCAGGACCCGGAGCUGACGGACAUCAGUUUAGAGUCACGACGUGAAAAAGCAGCGAAACGCAGGAGCGGCUUGGCCAGCGGCGCCUCCCAGCAGAACUUUCGAAGCAGCAGUUCCCGAAGUGGGGUGCCCAGCGGCUCCUGGGAAAUUGCCCGUGACCUCUGGGAUCACGCAUCGGAGUGGGGUCUGGAACGUGGGGAUUCCGGUGCCUCCGAUGUGAGACCCUGGCUUGGGUGGGGGUCCCCGACGGCGGCUGCGUGCUGGGCUCACCCGGGAGCCUGGGAAGCACCGGACGUCCUUGCCUGGCCACCCAUUCCGAUGGCAGCGGCUCUGCUGGGGCCGCCCGGGGCUCCCGCGCCCUUUGCGCUGGCGGGAGGGGCGGGCAGGUACCUGCCAUCGGGACUGUUCAACAAAGAGGGGGAGGUGGCCACAGGCGGGGGGGCGCAGGGGUGAUCUGGAAGAGAAACCGGCCUGCAAGCAGGAGGCCGGGCAAGAGCGGUGGCCGCGCGGCCCCUGGUCACCAGCGUGGCUGUGAUUGGCGGAGCACCUGCUGCCCGGGAGGCGGCCGUGGCCCUCUAAGUAGCCGCUGGAGGAGGCUUUCAGCUGCCAUCAGAGCAGGCCCGGGCGGAGGGGUAGCACAGAAGAGGCGUUGCCGUGGCGACACGAGGACGUAGAGGUGGCGGUGGUACCAGAGCAGCCUUUGACCUUGGCCACCUCUUGGACUUUCUCCCAUCCCUGCUCUUUCCCUGGGCCGUCCCCAGGCCUGCGGGGACACCCAGUUCUCGGGGACCUCCUGUGUGCACCCCCCCUCCUCCCUCUGGAGGCCAGGAGCCCUAAGAAAUAAGUUUCACCAGGAGGCUUAGAGGAAACCGGGGCCCAUUUCUUCUAAUCAAUUUUAUUGGAACAUAUUAUAAUAAUAAAGCAUAAAUCCAUCUAAAGUGUGCAAACAAUGGUAUUCAGUGUAAUCACAUAGUUGUGCAUUCAUCACUUCGAUCGUUCUUAAAGCAGUUUCAUUAUUCCAGUAACAAUAAAAAACAAACAAAACUCAUUACCUCUC